GACGAACGCUGGCGGCGUGCCUAAUACAUGCAAGUUGAGCGCUGAAGGUUGGUACUUGUACCGACUGGAUGAGCAGCGAACGGGUGAGUAACGCGUGGGGAAUCUGCCUUUGAGCGGGGGACAACAUUUGGAAACGAAUGCUAAUACCGCAUAAAAACUUUAAACACAAGUUUUAAGUUUGAAAGAUGCAAUUGCAUCACUCAAAGAUGAUCCCGCGUUGUAUUAGCUAGUUGGUGAGGUAAAGGCUCACCAAGGCGAUGAUACAUAGCCGACCUGAGAGGGUGAUCGGCCACAUUGGGAAUGAGACACGGCCCAAACUCCUACGGGAAGCAGCAGGAGGGAAUCUUCGGAAAUGGACGAAAGUCUGACCGAGCAAAGCCGCGUGAGUGAAGAAGGGUUUCGGAUCGUAAAACUCUGUUGGUAGAGAAGAACGUUGGUGAGGGUGGAAAGCUCAUCAAGUGACGGUAACUACACAGAAAGGGACGGCUAACUACGUG
This 497-nucleotide ribosomal RNA is filed under the name uncultured bacterium. RNAcentral describes it as "partial 16S ribosomal RNA". It matches the Rfam family "Bacterial small subunit ribosomal RNA", at positions 28 to 507 of the family's 1533-position model. The record is from RNAcentral.